RNAcentral lists this ribosomal RNA (458 nucleotides) under Escherichia sp. E4742. RNAcentral describes it as "bacterial SSU rRNA". It matches the Rfam family "Bacterial small subunit ribosomal RNA", at positions 1 to 453 of the family's 1533-position model. The record is from RNAcentral. Lineage: Bacteria; Pseudomonadati; Pseudomonadota; Gammaproteobacteria; Enterobacterales; Enterobacteriaceae.
UUAAAUUGAAGAGUUUGAUCAUGGCUCAGAUUGAACGCUGGCGGCAGGCCUAACACAUGCAAGUCGAACGGUAACAGGAAGCAGCUUGCUGUUUCGCUGACGAGUGGCGGACGGGUGAGUAAUGUCUGGGAAACUGCCCGAUGGAGGGGGAUAACUACUGGAAACGGUAGCUAAUACCGCAUAAUGUCGCAAGACCAAAGAGGGGGACCUUCGGGCCUCUUGCCAUCGGAUGUGCCCAGAUGGGAUUAGCUAGUAGGUGGGGUAACGGCUCACCUAGGCGACGAUCCCUAGCUGGUCUGAGAGGAUGACCAGCCACACUGGAACUGAGACACGGUCCAGACUCCUACGGGAGGCAGCAGUGGGGAAUAUUGCACAAUGGGCGCAAGCCUGAUGCAGCCAUGCCGCGUGUAUGAAGAAGGCCUCGGGUUGGUAAAGUACUUUCAGCGGGGAGGGAAGGG